This 496-nucleotide ribosomal RNA is filed under the name uncultured bacterium. RNAcentral describes it as "partial 16S ribosomal RNA". It matches the Rfam family "Bacterial small subunit ribosomal RNA", at positions 28 to 522 of the family's 1533-position model. The record is from RNAcentral.
GAUGAACGCUGGCGGCGUGCUUAACACAUGCAAGUCGAACGAAGCAAUCAGACGGAAGUUUUCGGAUGGAAGACUGAUUGACUGAGUGGCGGACGGGUGAGUAACGCGUGGGUAACCUGCCUCAUACAGGGGGAUAACAUUUGGUAACGAAUGCUAAUACCGCAUAAGACCACGGUGUCACAUGACACAGCGGCCAAAGGAUUUAUUCGCUUUAGGAUGGGCUCGCGUCUAAUUAGCUAGAUGGUGGGGUAACGGCUCACCAUGGCGACGAUCAGUAGCCGGACUGAGAGGUCGAUCGGCCACAUUGGGGCUGGGAUACGGCCCAGACUCCUACGGGAGGCAGCAGUGGGGAAUAUUGGGCAAUGGGCGAAAGCCUGACCCAGCGACGCCGCGUGGAGGAAGAAGGUUUUCGGAUUGUAAACUCCUGUCUUCGGGGAAGAUAAUGACGGUACCCGAGGAGGAAGCCACGGCUAACUACGUGCCAGCCGCCGCAGUA